AAGAGAAGGGGUUGGGACUCGGCUCCGAAGGCCGAAGAGCUCUUUAAACCUCCGGGCUGCAGCCGCACCGCCGCUCUGAGCGGUGCUUCAGGGGCCAGAGAGCCGCGCAACUCCCGGCACAGCGCUGCGGCUCCGUGGAGCGAUAAAUAACUCCGCUCAGGUACUUUUUCUUUCAGGGAGUCGCACAAAUUGGCCCGUGUUGACAGAUGUUUGUCACUUAGUAACUUCUUUCCAAGUUUUUUUUUUCUUUUUUUUUUUUCUUUUUUUCUUUUUUCCCCUCCCUCUUCCCUCCUCUAAGCCUUCUUCCGAGCCCGCUUUGUUGUUUUAAAAUAUGCAUGUCUCUCAGGAAUGCGAGUCACGAGUCCAAACUUCGUGUCCAACCUCCCACAAGAAAUGAUCCUUUUAUAGGGAACCCGAUAUGUCUCAAUCUGCACUUCACUCAAAGCCGCUGUAUACGGGGCGCCGCUCCCUGCGCGCAAAUCACCGCGCCGGAGCGCAUUUCCAACCCCCCCCUCCUCCCCCCCUAAAAAAACAAAACAAAACAAAACAAAAAAAAGACCACAAAAACCAAAAAACAAAAACCCCACGCAUGGCUCCCGGGAAGGGAACACAGUUCCCAUGGUAUGGCGAGAGGGGAGUGCAGCCUGGAGGAAGGCAAAAAUAUAUAAGAAAGGGAAAAUAAGGGGAAAAAAAAGGAGAAAGUUUUAUUGCCGCGCGAGCCGCUCAGGGCCUUCGCAAGCAGUGGGUUUGCCAAGGACGUGCCCCUGCGCAGCUCCGGGUGCGUGGGGAGACGACGUCAGAUCGUGGCGUGAGGAGGAGAGAUGGAGGAGCAGAGCCCAGCUUCGGGGAAAGGGGGAAAAGAAAAGGAAAAAAAGAAAGGGAAAAAAAAAAAAAGUGUUCCACUAUAUACACAGAUAACAAAACGUGUCACAUCUUCACUUAUUGCCGGAACAGAGCCGUGCCCUCAUCUGAACGCAUCCAAACACCUCCGAAGUGAUUAUUGGAUUCCUCUCUGAUAAAUCAGUUUGUGAAACCGAACCGGGAGCACACAGACAAAAAGAUACGUGUCACAGACUCUUUGCAAAAAGCCAGGAGACAGCAGAGACCCUUUACUGCUGCAAACGAAGGAAGAGUCAACGCCAUUAAAAAAAAUAAUGAAGGAGAACCCACCCAUACCUGCGUGCUGCAGGGUGCGGCGGUCCCCGCCCCACCGCCGUGCCCCGUGCCCAUCUCCCGACCCUGGCUGUGCUGCAUCACAAGUCCGCACAAGCGACGGAGCGAUAAAUCCUACAAAAAAUAAGACAGAUCUCUUCAUCGAUGUGUAAUAAAGUUAAAGGACAUUGUUUUGUCAGACAAGCGCUAAGUAGAAAAUAAAUCUUUGGGUCUGGGGAAACAAAACGCAGUGCUGUUGGCAUGUGUGUAAAUUUACUUUUAAAAGCAAUAAAUCAAUGUUAAAUUAAA
Molecule: long non-coding RNA, 1461 nt
Organism: Coturnix japonica (Japanese quail)
Lineage: Eukaryota; Metazoa; Chordata; Aves; Galliformes; Phasianidae
Source: RefSeq, a predicted model, not a curated record